Molecule: ribosomal RNA, 459 nt
Filed under: uncultured bacterium
Lineage: Bacteria
Description: partial 16S ribosomal RNA
Rfam family: Bacterial small subunit ribosomal RNA
Source: RNAcentral
CCUACGGGGCGCUGCAGUGAGGAAUAUUGGUCAAUGGGCGGAAGCCUGAACCAGCCAAGUAGCGUGCGGGAUGAAGGCCCUACGGGUCGUAAACCGCUUUUGCACGGGGAUAACACCCUCCACUUGUGGAGGUCUGCAGGUACCGUGCGAAUAAGGGCCGGCUAAUUCCGUGCCAGCAGCCGCGGUAAUACGGAAGGCCCGAGCGUUAUCCGGAUUCAUUGGGCUUAAAGGGAGCGUAGGCGGGCGUUCAAGUCAGCUGUAAAAUCGCGCGGCUCAACCGCGCCCCGCAGUUGAACCUGGACGCAUUGAGUUCACAACAGGCAGGCGGAAUUCGUGGUGUAGCGGUGAAAUGCAUAGAUAUCACGAGGAACCCCGAUUGCGAAGGCAGCCUGCCGGGGUGCGACUGACGCUGAGGCUCGAAGGUGCGGGUAUCAAACAGGAGUAGAUACCCUAGUAGUC